GAAAGUCAGAGAAAGGUGUGGACUCUGAUGGAGAAGGACCAAAUGUGAUGCCAAAUGUGCUAGACAGACUCCUGGAGUGAGAGUGAGGAUUCCCAUCAUUGGGACCCUUCAGGACUGGAACCAGAAGUUCUAUUCUGUAUUUUUAAGAGAAUACAUACAUCAUUGGCUUCCAUCAUGGGCUGUUCCUCUGUCCCCUUAUAGAUGCUGAAUUUCCAGGACUCAGGACCAAACUUGCUUGGAAUGGAGUCCAUUGUACGUCAGACACCAUAGGGUAGACACUAAUAUCCAUCUUGCUCCCUGUGAACAUUUCAGAUUUCAGGUCUAGAGAUCAGGAAGCAAGGUGCAGGAUGCAAUUAUGGAAUUCCACUGACAUGUCAAUGCCUGGCCCAGUAAACACCCAGCACACAUUAAUCAAUUAAUGAAGCAUAGAUGCAGGAAUAAGCAGAAUAAGAUUAUCAUCUCAAUCUACAUAUAUAAAAUCCUAAUAAGCAAAUAGACCGAAUGGCGGAACAACUGAACAACCGGUCACUAUGACAUGCGCUGACCACCAGGGAGCACAUGCGGAACAUUGCAGGCAUCAGCCAUGGCAGGAUGGUGAAGCAGGUGAGCGGGGGUGCCAGACCAAGGCAGGGCGCCUGUCGCUGUCAUCGGGGUGAGCCUAGUUACUGAAAAUUCUUUGCUCCCGAGUGCCAUGGUCCCGCCCAGUGCUCACACCCGCUGCCAACACCCAGCAUGGGCCCCAAUUGCUCGGC
This is a long non-coding RNA of Myotis myotis, 752 nucleotides long. RefSeq lists it as uncharacterized. The record is from RefSeq and is a predicted model, not a curated record. NCBI's taxonomy places the organism in Eukaryota, Metazoa, Chordata, Mammalia, Chiroptera, Vespertilionidae. The transcript is spliced from 3 exons.